This is a long non-coding RNA of Cyprinus carpio carpio, 1271 nucleotides long. NCBI's taxonomy places the organism in Eukaryota, Metazoa, Chordata, Actinopteri, Cypriniformes, Cyprinidae. The record is from Ensembl.
GUGACUUUUUAUCUCACAAUUCUUAUUUUUAAAUCACAAUUCUGACUUCUUACAAUUUCGAGUUCACAUCUCGCAAUUCUGUUUUUUUUAAUCAUUAUUUUAUUUGUCUCACAAUUCUAACUUUUUGUUUGUUUGUUUGUUUGUUUUUUCCUGGAGAACUGUGAAAAAAGCCAUAACUGUGAGAUAUAAACUCAUAGUCAAGAAAAAAAAAGUCAGAAUUGUGAUAUUAAAAGUUGCAAUUUUAUUUUCUAAAUCCUGUGGUGGAAACAAGCUGAAAUUGUAAUUCGCUUAAAAUAACUAUUUAUUGUGCAUUAUAUAUACUGUAUAUAGUUAUUGUUGCAUUACAAUAAUGAGCGUAAUUUGUUUGUUGCAUUACAUAAUGAGAAUUUAUGAGAAAUUUAUAAUUGUCACGAAAAUGAUGUUUCGGUGCAAAAACUCUUGAUUCUAAAUAAUAGACUUUAUGCAAAAUAUAAUAUCUUCAUUUACUUACUUGGGGUGAAUUUUGACCUGGACAUUUUCUAGACCGGUUUUGAAAGAUUUACCCUGCAAAUGCAUGUUGAUAAUGCAGACUUUUACAGCUGUAGGAAGUAAUUUGUUCUUUAGAUAAAGAUUAUUUGUACAUGCAGUACGUUUGAGAUGCUUUGACCAUGACUGAUUUAAUAUCAGUUGAAAUGGUGGCCUCUUCUUUUGAGGCUUGAUUUGAGUUUUUUUGUUGUAUAUUAAGGCACACAGGCUCUCUUUCUACCAACACAAUUAUCACAUAUCUGUUUAUGAAGCCACUUUUUUAACAAUUAUAAUUGAGAUGGCAUAACUGUUGUACCUCUACAUAUUGUGGAUUGUAUGGGAACUUACAAAAUAAGCACACACACACACACACACAUUCAAUACGUGUAUGAACUGCGACCCCAUGCACUGUGAGUUCAACGUGAUGUGGGAUUCAUGUCAACAAUAAUAAUAAUAAAUGUAAAAUGAUCAAAAUAUAAAUAUAUCUAUAUUUCAUGUAAAGUUAGUUACUACUGAAUACAUCUGUAACACGUAUAUGAAUGUAUUGUCAUGCUUUAAUGGACAUAUCCAACCAAUGCAUUUUACUGUAAAGCAAUAACAUGGGGAAAAAAAAUCUAAAUAUAUAUGUGAAAAGAAUGAUUCCUGUACAUUUAUCAUAUGAAUCUUUGAGAAAGGAAUGUUUAAAAUAUGUCACAAAUUAAACAAUGCCAUUUAUAUCUGUUUCAUAGUUUCUGUGGCCUGUGCCUUGUUUUAAAUGAGUUUUGUGU